CUCAGCACACACACACAGGCCACGUUGAUCCGUAUGAGCCUCCAGGCCACCAGGUUCUUAAAGGAAGUCAGGGCUCGGACAAAAGUGUGUGAGUUGGUGCAGUAGGAGUUCCAGUGUCUGGCAUCGAUCCCCAAACAGCCGGAGCUGCCUGAGCGCUCGCUGUGGCACGUCGUCUCAAAGAAUGACUGAUGCUAUCGCACACUGAGUAGACUCCUCUGUGCUGAGGCUGCCCUGCUCGCCUGCGGGCCCUCCUUCCGCCCCCCUGUGACCCCGCCGGAUCUGCAUCAGGCGGCUGGUCGCUGAAGAGCACCCUGGGUGAGAGGUAGCGGCGCUUGGUGAACAGCUUUGGGUCCACUGUGGGGAUGGUGUUGGAGUUGUUGUCUGGACCCUGCUGCUGUGCUGCUCCUAUGAUGGCGGCCACAGCCUGGGCACUGAAGAGGAGGAACAGGACCAGCAUGGACGACCUCAUGGGCACACGACCUGUCAGCAAGCAAAGAAAACACUGUUACUGCAGAUAUAUAGUUGGCUCUCAAAGACAUCCACGAUCUGAACUGAGAGAGUUUGAUGUAAUCUUCAACUUAUUCACAGACAUGAGAAAGGACUUAAUGAUUAUCUCUGGGCAAGCAGGAAGAAUAAGUGUCAUUCUCCAGGAACAGUACUGAAUUUCCUUUUUAAGAACAGGAAAUGGAUCUUGUUUAUGUAAGUUAUCCAUGGAAAUCGGUGUAC
Eleginops maclovinus (Patagonian blennie) is the source of this 726-nucleotide long non-coding RNA. RefSeq lists it as uncharacterized. NCBI's taxonomy places the organism in Eukaryota, Metazoa, Chordata, Actinopteri, Perciformes, Eleginopidae. The record is from RefSeq and is a predicted model, not a curated record. The transcript is spliced from 3 exons.